Molecule: transfer RNA, 77 nt
Filed under: Caudoviricetes sp.
Lineage: Duplodnaviria; Heunggongvirae; Uroviricota; Caudoviricetes
Description: tRNA-Pro
Rfam family: tRNA
About the family: Transfer RNA (tRNA) molecules are approximately 80 nucleotides in length. Their secondary structure includes four short double-helical elements and three loops (D, anti-codon, and T loops).
Source: RNAcentral
UGGUUUCAGUGGGUCACCCUUGUGAUGCCACCUGCUUUGGGAGCAGGGGGCCGCGGGUUCAAAUCCCGCCAGCCCGA